UUGGGACUUCACACAGAAAAGAUGCAUCCGAGCCUUGGCAUUGUCGCCCUGCCAAGUCACCCCCCAACAGCCAAGUCCUGCUCAGAGCCCCACGGGAAAAGAAUUGCACUCUAUCAAGUGGACUCUGGGCAGCGCCCCAGAGUGCCUGAGCUCCAGAGACCAGACUGCCGACCGCGGACCAGCCAGCUGGACUCCCCGAGUGAGUGCUCCCCACGUCUUCCCUCAGGACCCCCCGCACAACGGCAAGGGGCCGAGGGGAGCAUCCCUGUCUGGAUGGCAUCCCUGGAAAAGGCUGGAGUGUUUCUAAAGAGGCUGUUCAGACAUCACAUCACAGUCCCAGACGGCCGAGAGGUCCUUGCACUCACUUGGCUGCCCUCCCUGGGAAAUGCUUUGGAUCAGACUGCACUUCUGGGUUGUUUUUGCCUGAGGAAAGUGGGUACAAGACCCCCAUCUGAAAGGCAGUGAUUUCCCUAUUGAAAAGGGAAAUGGGAAAGAAAGGUGGCUUCUGUGAUUCUCCUUGUGCAAACCUCCCUGAAUACAAGAACUUGCUCCUCUGCAGCAGCAGGUAAACAGACACCUGAGCGGGGAAGGAAAACGAGCUGGCAGCCUGCAGGGAUGCCGAGACAAGCGGUGGGGUGGGGGAGGGCCACCUCUUGCGCCAGCUGAAAGUCUACUUUGGUUUGAACGCCAUCCCAAUUUUCACCUACCAACCCUUGGAGGGUGGAGCCAUUCCAGAGAAGGUGUGAUUUUCCGGAGGGGCGACCCCUAAAAUAAGCCAAGCACCACCUUGGGCCUGAACUUUGUGUGUGCAGAAAAUCCACGUGAUGCCCUUUCUGCAGCGCCUCUUGGGCCGAACUUGAGGGAAGCAAGUUUCCUUCCACCGGUCUCCCCCCGCAGUUCGGGUUGGUUUGCGCUGGAAUGCCACGCUUUUCAAAGUGCCCGAGCCGAUAGGCACUUUCUAAAUAUGUACAACGAUGACUGAUAAGAAACCGAGCGCCGGGCUUCGUGGGUUCGCCACCCCUGGCAGCCCAGGGCUGGGGUUGGGCCGGCGUUCCCCCUCUUUCUCGGCUGAAACCCCAACACCCCCUUCCAGAUCUGCUUUGGCAACGGUUCUGUUCAUGCCAGUGUGUGUAUGUGUGUGUGUGUGUGUUUGGGGGGGGGUCGCCCCAUUUUCGAAUUUCGACCUCUCCAUUCGACGACCAGCGCCCAUCCCCCGCGCCAUCGGUCCCCCGCAGCCACCCCCACGACCCAGGCCGGGGUGACCCAAAAGGCUGAGUCAACGUAGCGAAACAGGAGCGUCCCCCACGGGCCGGCGCCCCUAGCCCCCCUCAGUUCUUCGCCAGGCCCCACAAUGCGCCCUUGUGCCGCGCCUGCAGCCAGG
Molecule: long non-coding RNA, 1381 nt
Organism: Talpa occidentalis (Iberian mole)
Lineage: Eukaryota; Metazoa; Chordata; Mammalia; Eulipotyphla; Talpidae
Exons: 3
Source: RefSeq, a predicted model, not a curated record